UCUCCGUUGGUGAACCAGCGGAGGGAUCAUUACAGGACUCGCAAGACCCCUACAACCCUGAGAACCGAACCAUAAGAACGUUGCUUCGGCGGGCGGUCCGGAGCGGGGUCGCGCCGCCCGACACGCUAAACCCGCCCGCAGACUACUGUACUUAGCCGCCUUGCGUCUGCAUUUCGAGUACAAAAAAAAAAGUUAAAACAUCCAACAACGGAACUCUUGGUUCUGGGAUCGAAGAAGAAAGCAGCAGAACGGAAGAGCAUACGUCCGAACUCCAGACAC
This 279-nucleotide unclassified non-coding RNA is filed under the name plant metagenome. Its description in RNAcentral is "partial contains small subunit ribosomal RNA, internal transcribed spacer 1, and 5.8S ribosomal RNA". The record is from RNAcentral.